UAGAGGAGACUUAAUGUUCUUACAAUGUGAUGUUGGCAUUCAUUGAGAUAUGAAGUCUAUGUUCCUUCCCCUUGUAUCUGGGCAAACCUGUGACUAUGAUAGAAGUGACACUACGAGUUCCAAGUUUUACUAUGAGUUCAUAAAGGAUGACAUGCAAUAAGAUGCUGCUGCCAUUCUGGAUGGAUCACACAGAGAUGGACACGUCCAAGGAGCCCUACUGUAGGAAUUUUUAAGUCCCUAGCUGUAGGAAUCUCCCCAGUAUCAACUGCCAGACAGAAAAGUGGAAUCACUGAGCCUCUGCAGCCUUAAGCUUCUGGGAUGAAGUAACAAGAGUGUGACAGGAACAGAGAAAGGAUAAAUGCCAACCAUAAUGAUCUUGACACCAUUCUGGAGAGCCAGCACCUCUUCAGACACUUCAAAGGAAGCAAGAGACCUUGGACCUUUCUGCUCAUGGAUAUUUGCCAGAAGGGAUGCAAAUCACUAUUAAAGAAUCACCUGACAUUAGUAAGAAGCUGGGCAUGCAGACCUGUGACUUGAGGGUUGCCUGGGGGAAAUGAAUCCUAAAUGCAGCCAGGCCUAUGGUGGCCACCUCACUUAGCCCAUUUGGAUAACAGGCAUUUUCAUUCUUUUGUCUUCAUAAUAACCUUGGUACCAUGAUGCCUAUGCUAAAGCCCUGAAUCAACCAAGAAGGAAUUUUAACAUGGUCUAAAAAUGUGAUUUGCUUCCAAGAAGUCCUAGUGCUCUGACAGUAUCAAUUGGGAGUUACUUUUCCUCUUGACUCUUGGCACUACUUGAGUCAUGGCAUUAAAAAAAACAAAUUCCUUUUGCUA
This is a long non-coding RNA of Canis lupus familiaris (dog), 830 nucleotides long. RefSeq lists it as uncharacterized. The record is from RefSeq and is a predicted model, not a curated record. NCBI's taxonomy places the organism in Eukaryota, Metazoa, Chordata, Mammalia, Carnivora, Canidae. The transcript is spliced from 3 exons.